AAUUUCUUCUGGGAUCACCCCAUUUUCAUGAAUAUUAUGUCUCCCCAUUCUUUCCCGUUGAUACAAGCACAUGGUAAAAGCAGAUACGCUAUGGAAAUUGUAGGACUCUGCGUUGGAAAUUAAUUGAACUUCUUGAACCACAGACGCCAUGAGAGAAUCAUGGAUAACUAUAACUUUUCUUGCUUUGCUCGAAAGUGAACGCAGGAGCACAGACACAGGCUCUCGAAGAUGAGA
RNAcentral lists this unclassified non-coding RNA (234 nucleotides) under Hevea brasiliensis (rubber tree). The record is from RNAcentral. Lineage: Eukaryota; Viridiplantae; Streptophyta; Magnoliopsida; Malpighiales; Euphorbiaceae.